RNAcentral lists this ribosomal RNA (251 nucleotides) under uncultured bacterium. Its description in RNAcentral is "partial 16S ribosomal RNA". It matches the Rfam family "Bacterial small subunit ribosomal RNA", at positions 524 to 771 of the family's 1533-position model. The record is from RNAcentral.
UACGGGGGGGGGCAAGCGUUGUUCGGAAUUACUGGGCGUAAAGGGCGCGUAGGCGGCCUUCUAAGUCGGACGUGAAAUCCCUCGGCUUAACCGAGGAACUGCGUCCGAUACUGAAAGGCUUGAAUCCGGGAGAGGGAUGUGGAAUUCCAGGUGUAGCGGUGAAAAUGCGUAGAUAUCUGGAGGAACACCGGGUGGCGAAGGCGGCAUCCUGGACCGGUAUUGACGCUGAGGCGCGAAAGCUAGGGGAGCAA